Cololabis saira (Pacific saury) is the source of this 1639-nucleotide long non-coding RNA. RefSeq lists it as uncharacterized. The transcript is spliced from 3 exons. The record is from RefSeq and is a predicted model, not a curated record. NCBI's taxonomy places the organism in Eukaryota, Metazoa, Chordata, Actinopteri, Beloniformes, Belonidae.
ACGGCUCCGGAUCCGCGUCUCAUCCUCAAAACACCGACUUUAUUCUGCAGUCUGGGAACACUGAACCGUGGGGAAUGAGGCGCUCGUUUGAGUGCAGGAUCCAUUAUCCACUUGUAAAUAGUUCAUAAACAUCUAAACCGAGCAGCGUUCAAUUCUGAUGUGCGCGUCGGUCAGCGCGUCCAGUCAUCGAUCAUCUGCCCCCGGUGCCACAGACGGUGUCAUAACACGAUAAUGCGGCUUCUUCACACGUUCGGCGGUGAUUCCUCAUAGGAAGCCGACUAAAACCAGAGCGAUGGGAUCCGAUGGGACAACUUGCCAGGCUCAUGAUGAGCGUGAGAGCGUCCCGAGAGCAGUCCGGCCGGUAGCGCACCGGGACGCGGACGACACAGCAGCCACGAGGCGCGGACUUUUACGCACGGGAUCAGACACUCACCGGGCUGACUGGUCGGGCUGCAGUUCGCUAUUUACCUAGUUUAUUGGGAACAACUGGCAGUCUGUGAAGUCAAACUGAGGUCAAACUUUUAGCAGCCCCGCAGCUCUGCGCAAACAUGUUGGGAUCUGCAAAGAAGGCCACCGACUCUCUCUGGUUUGUGUCACUGCUUCAGCGCACAGGAAGACCAGCUGCAAAGUUUUCACAGCUUAUCUAAUUAUAUGAAACUACUACUACUAUGUUAUCACCUGUCAGGACCUCCAGCAGCAUUCAUUAAGGCAAUUUAGGAGCCGCGAGCUGCGCCUGGAAACGAUUCUCUCUGAAAUAAUGCGCACAAGGAUUUCUACAAGUAAAUGAUUUCUCCUGCUACGGAGUUACAGGUUGGUUUGACAACCUAAAUUAGAUGGUAAUAUGCAGGUAUAUUUCUGUUUUUCAUGUGAAAAACACGAGUUACACUACAGUAAUCUAUCAUUAUUAAGACAUUGUAAAAUGCGUAGAGUAAUUUAUUCUAAAGAACGAUUGGUGCAACAUUUGUUAAGGUUUUUCAACUUUAUUAUAGAGAAAUAAUACUAUAGUGUAAGAUAAGAUACCACCCAAAAAGUCAUGGAAAAUAGCCGUUAUGGCUGAGUUUUGGUAUAUUAAAAUAUUCUAACAUAUCGCAACAUUAAUUUCAGUGCUCGAAAUUCAUGAUCUUUUUUAAUUCAUCAAGAGUUCGUGUUUCCUCUGGGAGUAUUCCCUCCUGCUGGAUCCCGCAGUUUGGCUCAAAUGUUUGUCUGAGCUGCUCUCGCCUCCCUGGCAAGUCAACGCUUAAUCAUUUGCGCCUUCUACCGGACGAAUUGGGAACUGCACCUCAUCAUGACGACGAUCCCUGCUCAGAACAUUGAGAUAAAAUGUAAAGGCUGAGCUGCUACGAUAUUAAUCCACUGUUAAUCUUAAUGUGUGCAUCUUUUAUAUAUCUUAAAUCAUCAUUUAGAUUUAACAUACUGAAAAAAUACGUGAUUGUUGAAUAUACUGUUUGUUUGUGUUGCCUUUGACUGCAGUUGUCAAGUACUUAACUGUUUGUUUCUUUUAUUUUAAGCAGGAAUUAAAGUAUUUAUGUUACAAUAACUACAGCAAAACUUGAUUAUUUACUUUUUAAAUGAAAUUAAAAAAAGAUUUCACUUUAUCUGGUGUGGGAAAAAAGGUCUUGAAUAGAACUGUAAGUAUUAA